GUCCAACUUGACACACAACUUGAAUCCAACCAGACUGAACACUGACUCCAGGGACAGACGAGCCUGAAGGACACAGCUGUGAUGACCAUGUUCUGUCUCUUAUGGCAAAGCAGAAAUAUAAAACACUGGGUUCUUAUCUAAAGUGUAUCAAAUCAGAUCUCCACCAUGUUGCUGCUGAGGACAUCAGGUGCUGCAGUUCUUCAUCUAUGAAGAGAAAAAACGCACUGUUAAAGAAUGUUUUGUGUUGUGUAUAAAGCACAACAGAUUUCAGAUAGAACUGUUGUACUGUGGUCUUGGUUUAUAUCCUCAUGGUGAAAUGUACAUAUUUUAAGUCCCUUCUGAUAAAAGUGCUGAAAGAAAUACAACAUUGUACAAAUACAUAAAAUGUCUUUCUACCUCAUCAGUACUAUUCAAGGUGAUAAUCUCCCACAGACCUAUUGAUAACAGUCCAAAUCAAGUCUUUCCACUUCUCUCAGUGUGAAAACAUAAUUCUAUAAUUAAUUUGAGAACUGUUUACAACACUGAUGUGUGGAGAUUAAAAUCAUACCUAAACUGUCUAA
Molecule: long non-coding RNA, 560 nt
Organism: Platichthys flesus (European flounder)
Lineage: Eukaryota; Metazoa; Chordata; Actinopteri; Pleuronectiformes; Pleuronectidae
Exons: 2
Source: RefSeq, a predicted model, not a curated record